Solenopsis invicta (red fire ant) is the source of this 46-nucleotide non-coding RNA. The record is from Rfam. NCBI's taxonomy places the organism in Eukaryota, Metazoa, Arthropoda, Insecta, Hymenoptera, Formicidae.
CAAACGGCCCUUUUCAGGGCCACCCCUUUUUAACACAAAGAAUAAU